This 808-nucleotide unclassified non-coding RNA is filed under the name Hevea brasiliensis (rubber tree). The record is from RNAcentral. Lineage: Eukaryota; Viridiplantae; Streptophyta; Magnoliopsida; Malpighiales; Euphorbiaceae.
GAAGGGAUAAUAAUAAUAAACCUGGAACAGAGUGUAAAACAUUUAAAGUUGAAACUUCAAAUAAACCAACUGCCUAAAGAAGAAAAUUGUAACCUGUAUAGCAAAAAGAUAAGAGUUCCAUAGACUGGAUACAAUCAAUUGGUCCAAAGUCACUGUGUUUUACAUUAGACAGUGGCGCAAUGUUAAUUGAACAUGCAAUGAUAUGCUAAAGAUUGAAAACAUGAGUUCAAGCAAAUAUACAUUAAUAAAAAAGAUAAAGUAGUAAAAUUAUUUAUAGAUAUGCACAAGGAACACAGCACCAUUCUGAGAAACUAGCAAAAAAGAUCAGCACUGUAACCCAUUAAAAUGAAAGCAAAGUUAUCAGAAAAUCAUUCAGAAAUUAUAACUCAAGCACCAAUCUCACCAGGUUGCAAAAUUAAAACAAAAUGUAUACAAGUUCCUGGCCAGUAUUGAUUCACAGAUUGUAAAAAGUGGCAAUAAUUAAAAAAAAAAUAAUCAAUACCCUGGAAGUUAGUUUCAAUUCUACACAUGCAGCAGCAGUUCAACGUAAGUGGCACUUACUCCCAAGGACUUUCCAAUUCUAACAAGGACAGCAAAAGGAUACACUCUAAUUCCGAUGUUAUUUUCGUUGCACAGGUUACUUUUAAGGACUAUUGAGACAUAAGAUUUUCAUUUCAAGGGCUUACAGUUGACAUCAUGUUCCACCAACACCACUUAGAAAUCAGAUACUUAAUUACCUGUCCUCCAGUCGUUUUUGGGAUGACGGAGAUAGAUGCAAUGUCCGCAUAUGUCUGGGUAGUGAUAAAUA